RNAcentral lists this ribosomal RNA (254 nucleotides) under uncultured bacterium. RNAcentral describes it as "partial 16S ribosomal RNA". It matches the Rfam family "Bacterial small subunit ribosomal RNA", at positions 524 to 776 of the family's 1533-position model. The record is from RNAcentral.
UACGUAGGGCGCGAGCGUUGUCCGGAAUUAUUGGGCGUAAAGAGCUCGUAGGCGGUGUGUCGCGUCGGCCGUGAAAACCUGGGGCUUAACUCUGGGCGUGCGGUCGAUACGGGCAUCACUGGAGUUCGGCAGGGGAGACUGGAAUUCCUGGUGUAGCGGUGAAAUGCGCAGAUAUCAGGAGGAACACCGGUGGCGAAGGCGGGUCUCUGGGCCGAUACUGACGCUGAGGAGCGAAAGCAUGGGUAGCGAACAGG